Molecule: ribosomal RNA, 254 nt
Filed under: uncultured bacterium
Lineage: Bacteria
Description: partial 16S ribosomal RNA
Rfam family: Bacterial small subunit ribosomal RNA
Source: RNAcentral
CACGUAGGGGGCAAGCGUUGUCCGGAUUUAUUGGGCGUAAAGAGCUCGUAGGUGGUUCGGUAAGUCGGGUGUUAAACCCCCAGGCUCAACCUGGGGACGCCACUCGAUACUGCUGUGACUAGAGUCCGGCAGGGGAGCGUGGAAUUCCUGGUGUAGCGGUGAAAUGCGCAGAUAUCAGGAGGAACACCAGCGGCGAAGGCGGCGCUCUGGGCCGGUACUGACACUGAGGAGCGAAAGCGUGGGUAGCAAACAGG